AUUGAACGCUGGCGGCAUGCCUUACACAUGCAAGUCGAACGGCAGCACGGGGCAACCUGGUGGCGAGUGGCGAACGGGUGAGUAAUGCAUCGGAACGUACCUUUCAGUGGGGGAUAACGUAGCGAAAGUUACGCUAAUACCGCAUAUUCUGUGAGCAGGAAAGCAGGGGAUCGCAAGACCUUGCGCUGAUUGAGCGGCCGAUGUCAGAUUAGCUAGUUGGUGAGGUAAAGGCUCACCAAGGCGACGAUCUGAAGCGGGUCUGAGAGGAUGAUCCGCCACACUGGAACUGAGAGACGGUCCAGGCUCCUACGGGAGGCAGCAGUGGGGAAUUUUGGACAAUGGGGGCAACCCUGAUCCAGCCAUGCCGCGUGAGUGAAGAAGGCCUUCGGGUUGUAAAGCUCUUUCGGCCGGGAAGAAAUCGCACGGGCUAAUACCCUGUGUGGAUGACGGUACCGGAAUAAGAAGCACCGGCUAACUACGUGCCAGCCGCCGCGGUAA
Molecule: ribosomal RNA, 498 nt
Filed under: uncultured bacterium
Lineage: Bacteria
Description: partial 16S ribosomal RNA
Rfam family: Bacterial small subunit ribosomal RNA
Source: RNAcentral